Pongo abelii (Sumatran orangutan) is the source of this 186-nucleotide non-coding RNA. Lineage: Eukaryota; Metazoa; Chordata; Mammalia; Primates; Hominidae. The record is from Rfam.
CAGUCCCUGGUGCCAAAAAGGUUGGGGACUGCUGAAGAGCACCGGAAACCAGGAGGAGGCACAGGGUUCUCCCCUGAGAGCCAGGCCAGCUCUUGGUGUUUCUUCGCUGCAGGUGCCAUUUGGCAUUGAGGAUUGUUUUUCUCUUCCUCUGGGAAAGUAAGAGGGAGAGGACACAGUCUGAGUGGU